GAAAAGGGCACCAGAUCUCAUUACAGGUGGUUGUGAGCCACCAUGUGGUUGCUGGCAAUUGAACUCAGGACCUCUGGAAGAAGUCAGUGCUUUUAACCGCUGAGCCAUCUCUCCAGCCCCUCAAAUACUCUUAAGAUACCGCCCAGUGUCAGAGACCACUUCCUGUUGCCUGCACAAGAUACAGGACUCUCAGCUACUUCUCCAGCACCAUGUCUGCCUGCAUGCCACCACGUUGAACCAUGAUGACAACUGACUAAACCUCUGAAACUGAGCCUGAAGAAGUUCUACCAACUUUCAAAGAGAAGUGACUGACAGGCACUUGUAGCUCCAAGAAGCAGGACCCCCUCCAUGCGGACAAACGUUAACUCCUCAUCUGCUACGUGAGGCACCGUAAUAGGAGUUUCAUUUUUCUUGAAGGCCCAGAAAACCAACAGCUGCACACAAACUAUGCAAGGAGUUGAAACUCAGUUAAAACAAAAACAGAACUUGAGAUUCUCUGUUUGGAGAAUGGCUGGGCCCCCUCUGUGUCUGUUCUCCUGGGGACAUCCAUUGCCUUUGUUGUAGGACGUCUCCAGCCUGUGACAGUGGAGGUUAUGUUGUUGUGUGCUCACGAAGUUGCCCUGCUGAGGCAUGGCCCUAGCUGUGAGAUCACUCCCUGAAGAAAGAGGACCUGAAGAUGGCCCUGUGAGCCCCAAUUCUUGGCCCGUCCAUCUCUGUGUCCCCUCCAAGGUGUGGGCAUCUGCCAGCUGGAGCUCCUGUUGCUGUGCCUUCCUUGUGGAGCUGGACUGUCCUCUGAAGUUGAACCAAAUUAAACGUCUCCUCCUGUAAGCUUCCUGGUAGAGGAGUUUGGCGGAGGAAAGAAUUCAGAGUGAUUCCCUCAAGGUCAUGUUUUCCAGCCAUUUAUGGAUCUCCUUGAGCUCAACAGUUCUCACACCCAUGAGUUCUCUGAAGAGCCUGACGACAAGUGUGCUCUGAAUCCAUCCUGAUGACACAGAUUUCGGUCCACCCCAGUUCUGCAGAAGGCAUGUCUCCCGGGAGGAGUCUGCACUGCCACACUGUUCGCCAUUCUCCUCACAGGGAGGCUUGAGAAGCACAGCUGUGGUUGGCCCAGGACCCAGCCCAGACCCCGGUGGCCAUUAGGGACUUCUCCAGCCCUGUCUCCCAUCAUCGCCCAGCCUAACUUUCUCACUUAGAAGAUUGAGGCCAUCUGGUGUGAGCCUCCUGCAUUUCCUGCCCCCGCCCUCCACAGUCUCCACAUUUCCCAGUCUGCCUCCCUCUCUCUCUUUUCUUAGAAAAUAAACAUCUUCCCAUGACUAGAUUUCUACCCUCCUUGACCAUCUCCUCUGGAACGAUGACCCCCUUGAUCCUCCCUCUGUACAUUUUGGUCUUUUUCUCACCAAUGGAUUUCUCUUUUUCUUCUUUUUUUGAUUUAAAAUUUUUUUUGGAUUAGAUCUUAUGUCUUUUCUUUCCUAAAUCACAGAACAUCUUCCAGUAACUUGGCUUCUCCCUCAAAGCUGCCAGCUCUCCUCCUACUUCCUUUUCCCUGAGUGCAUCUUGUCUCUGUGUGGGUCUCAGCCUAGCAUGUUCGUUUCCUUUCUAAUCAUUGUACAGGCUGUCCUGUACAAUGCUCACCCCCAGACUGGGUGCCACACAUUGCUGCUUAGAUCCAUGGCUGGAUCCUUAGAGCCUCUUCACAAGCACAUGCCACUUAUCACCAUGGUAUCCAUCAGCUUUCUAUUACUGAUCACAAAACACCCGAGCUCGUGAAUGUUUAAGGAGCAAAUGUUUGUUUUGGUUUGUGAUUUCAGUUGAUGAUCACUUGGUCCCUGCUGUCCUUGAGCCUACAGCAAAGCAGUACAAUGGAGCAGGGACAUGUAGCCGACCAAGCUGCUCAGGAAGUGACCAGGAAGCAAAAGGAGACAGAAAGAGGACAAGAUCCUGAUGGCCCCUAGUGACCAGGAAGCAAAAGGAGACAGAAAGAGGACAAGAUCCUGAUGGCCCCUUCAAAGACACCUGGCCCCACCAGAUGACUUCACCUCCUCUCACCAGGCUCCACCUCUUAAAUACUACCAGGAGUCAGGGACCAAGCCUUCAAUGCAUCAGCAUUUCGGGUGACAUAGAUCUAAACCACAGCAAUGUGAAAGCCUAAAGAGGAUGGAAAAAAACGACUACUUCACAGGGGUACGAAAGCUGCUGAGCUCUAUAAGUAUCCUAUGGAACUCUGGUUAAUGAAGAACCGACCAAAGAGAAGCUGAAGAGAAGAAGCAGCUUGGCUGAGAAAGCUCAAUAAAGAAGCACCUCAAAAGAGUUAUGGUUCUUCUGGUUGCCUUUACCGUGACCUCACUUGGGAAAGGCAGCACAGAACCAUUGAAUGUGUUCUCACCACCAUCUCCUGCAUCUCUGUGGUCAUCUCUGUGAGUUUAGACACCGAGUUACAUUCGGUGAACUUUAUGGCCUAUUCUUUUUUGUGUCUGUUGUGUCUAGCACAAUUCUUACUCAUGCCAUCGAUUAAGUCAGGGAGGCUAUUUUUGUGGAUCUUCUGUCUAACAAAAAGGAUUUUAUUUUUAACGUGUAUGGAAAAAUUGACAACCUGUGUGGAAUGCACAAUGACUGAUGGACUGAUGGAGUGAUGAGUGGACGAGUGCUGGGUAACACAUUUGCUGGGAAGACUCAAGCAAAUAUCUAUUUACCCCAAGACAGAACCAACAACGGACCAAAGUAACGAUUACAGCAAAGCUCAACUUGGUGAAUCAACUAAUUUAUUAGGGUUACUUAAAGUCCCAUAGGUGAGUGGUGUAGGGACGGCUCAAAAGCAGCUGCAUCAUCAAAAAGCCAACUCCAGCCGAUGUGCAGACUCAAAAGUUAUAUCCCUACAGCGAUUUCUACGAUGUGCAGACAGGUUGACAGGCCAGAACAUCUCCAGGUAAUUCUCCUGAUUGAAGAGCCUCUUCCCCUAGCAGUUAUUUAUUGCUCCCAUAAUGUUGGGAAGGGUCCUGUGUAUCUUGUUAAUUUCAGGAACUUCUCAAAACUUGUGCCCCUACCUCCUGUCCCCUGCAAGGAUUUUCCCUCCUGGAUAGAAUAUUUAAAUUUAGAGAAAAUUGCUGUACAACAAGAUGUUCAAAUCUAAUGAUUUAGAGUUCUGGGUAGUCAAGAUGUAUUUAAAUAUGUGUCUAAUGUACUUUUGCUGUGAAGAUUUGUCCUCACGGCUAAGCACCAUGUCUUUCUGCCCUGGUCCAGGAAGCUUCAAUUUGAUGGUUGAAUUGACAGUUCUUUAAGGUCAAUAGUCUUUAAUGUAGUUCUUUCAUGGGAACCUUCCUGCUGAUGACUUGGGAAUCCAGAGUGAAUUAUGCAAUCUUAUUCCUAGGUUUUUCCACAUUCACCCCAUGCCUGCCUUCCAUAUCCUAUCCUCAAAGAGGCCCUGGGAGGAGCAAUCAGAAAGAUCCCAUUCAGCUGGAAAUGCCAUCCCUUCUUAAACUUUAGGAGAGGAUAAUGUCACCUCAUAUGAUGUCACAUCGUAAUUCAGAGCACAUCUGGGCAUGGUAGCUUAUGAUUUUCAGUACUGGGGAGAUAGAGGCGGAUGAAUCUCUAUGAGUUUGAGGCCAAGAGUUCCAAGACAGCCAGAGCUACAUUUAAAAAACCUGUUUUAAACAAACAAACAAACAAACAAACAAGCAAGCAAGCAAAGCACAUCUGAAUUGGCAGCUCCCCUUGGUACCUGAGAGUGAAAGCUAACAAGCUCUCAGAAGACUUCCUGAAAAGGUCAUGAUGAUUGUCCUCCAGACUGAAGCUGGCACAGACAGGAGGGUCACCAAUCCCACUGAAGGCAAGGGUCUGGGUAAGUGUGUUUCUAGCCCAGGGAACUGAAUUUAUAUGUCUAACGUGAGUCACCCAAAGUUAGCAUGUUAGCACUCCAGUGUGACCACAGAAACAGUCUUGGGGAGGAAUCCUGGUGCAGUCGAUGGGGAAGAUUACACAGACUGGGCUACUGGUGUUUGUAGCUAAGUGAUGCCCUCUAUAUGUGCUGCUAGCUCACCUCUCCUGGAUCCCGUGACCAACUCUCCUUUACUUGUUGUAAGUUAAAUAGACACCUUUGACUAUCAGACAGACUGCACGGAAUUGCCCUGAAUUGCCACUUUAACUUAGUUAUGCUGUAUUCUUCUGCUUGGGAUGAAAAAAAAUUUGAGGGAUAGCACUAGGGAUCAAACUUAGGGCUUCCCAUAUGUUAGGUAAGUGCUCUAACCAUUGUGCUUCCGGCACAGUCCUUUUGAAUUUUAUUUUGACACAGUGUAUUACUAAAUUGACCAGGCUUGACUCAAGUUCUAUAGACUCCUGCUAGGAUUAUAGGCAUGUGUGAUCAUAACUGGUAUGGCUUAGAUCUUGAAAAUCUCAUUUCUGUCCUAUAAUUCAUCUGAUCCCACUAUUAAUACCUCCAGAUCCAAGGAGUUCACCAAAUCACAUGGCUCUAGUGGAAUAUGUGUUUGCCUUUGUCUGAAUUUUAAGGCUCCACUUAAAGUUAACACUUGUUAGUGUCAUCCAGUGUAUAAAGGAGGUCAGUGUUGCCAAGUGUGGGAUAUGCUGCCACCAAAAACAAAUAAGGUACACCAGGCACUAGACUUCCUAACUUAUAGGGAAUGUGAAGUCUUUCAUGGUCAAACAAAUACCCUCCAUCUUUUCCAGAAUGUACUAUGUUGUGGAAUAUUAAU
This is a non-coding RNA of Peromyscus maniculatus bairdii (prairie deer mouse), 4703 nucleotides long. Lineage: Eukaryota; Metazoa; Chordata; Mammalia; Rodentia; Cricetidae. The record is from RefSeq and is a predicted model, not a curated record.